GAUGAACGCUGGCGGCGUGCCUAAUACAUGCAAGUCGAGCGAACAGACGAGGAGCUUGCUCCUCUGACGUUAGCGGCGGACGGGUGAGUAACACGUGGAUAACCUACCUAUAAGACUGGGAUAACUUCGGGAAACCGGAGCUAAUACCGGAUAAUAUAUUGAACAGCAUGGUUCAAUAGUGAAAGACGGUUUUGCUGUCACUUAUAGAUGGAUCCGCGCCGCAUUAGCUAGUUGGUAAGGUAACGGCUUACCAAGGCAACGAUGCGUAGCCGACCUGAGAGGGUGACCGGCCACACUGGAACUGAGACACGGUCCAGACUCCUACGGGAGGCAGCAGUAGGGAAUCUUGCGCAAUGGGCGAAAGCUUGACGGAGCAACGCCGCGUGAGUGAUGAAGGUCUUCGGAUCGUAAAACUCUGUUAUUAGGAAAGAACAAAUGUGUAAGUAACUAGGCACGUCUUGACGGUACCUAAUCAGAAAGCCACGGCUAACUACGUG
Molecule: ribosomal RNA, 497 nt
Filed under: uncultured bacterium
Lineage: Bacteria
Description: partial 16S ribosomal RNA
Rfam family: Bacterial small subunit ribosomal RNA
Source: RNAcentral